AUGAAAAACCCUAAUCGUCUCCUCACUCUCUCAGUCUCAUCUCAAGUUCAACUCAUCACUGUCUCUCUCUCUCACUCUCUCGUUUCGUUGUUCUUCAUAUCUGCACCGAUCACUCUCUGACUCUCUCAUUGUUCAUCUCAUCGCACCGAUCAUCGCACCGCCGAUCUACUCACAGUCUCACUCUCUGGUUUUGCAUCUCUGCACCGAUCGACUCACAGUAUGUGCUGGAGGAACUCAAUGUAAAAUCCAUUGUCCCAUGCAAUGAUCCUUUGAAGUAUUCUUCUUUACGUGCUGAGCAAGAAUUCAGUGUAUUAGGCAAACGUCUUGGAAAAUCAAUGCCUGUUGUUGCCAAGGAAGUCAAAGCAAUGUCACAGGAGGAUAUUUUAGCUUUCGAGAAGUCUGGAGAAAUUACUGUUGCUGCACACAGUUUGAAGCUGACUGACAUCAAGG
Molecule: non-coding RNA, 450 nt
Organism: Camellia sinensis
Lineage: Eukaryota; Viridiplantae; Streptophyta; Magnoliopsida; Ericales; Theaceae
Source: RefSeq, a predicted model, not a curated record